This 503-nucleotide ribosomal RNA is filed under the name uncultured bacterium. RNAcentral's name for it is "partial 16S ribosomal RNA". It matches the Rfam family "Bacterial small subunit ribosomal RNA", at positions 28 to 523 of the family's 1533-position model. The record is from RNAcentral.
GGUGAACGCUGGCGGCAGGCUUAACACAUGCAAGUCGAGCGGGGUGAUGGUGCUUGCACUAUCACUUAGCGGCGGACGGGUGAGUAAUGCUUAGGAAUCUGCCUAUUAGUGGGGGACAACAUCCCGAAAGGGAUGCUAAUACCGCAUACGUCCUACGGGAGAAAGCAGGGGAUCACUUGUGACCUUGCGCUAAUAGAUGAGCCUAAGUCGGAUUAGCUAGGUGGUGGGGUAAAGGCCUACCAAGGCGACGAUCUGUAGCGGGUCUGAGAGGCUGAUCCGCAACACGGGGACUGAGACACGGCCCAGACUCCUACGGGAGGCAGCAGUUGGGAAUAUUGGACAAUGGGGGGAACCCUGAUCCAGCCAUGCCGCGUGUGUGAAGAAGGCCUUAUGGUUGUAAAGCACUUUAAGCGAAGAGAGAGCUCUUUUGGUAAAUACCCAAGAUGAGUGGACGUUACUCGCAGAAUAAGCACCGGCUAACUCUGUGCCAGCAGCCGCCGUAA